UCCACAGUAGCUCAGUGGUAGAGCUAUCGGCUGUUAACCGAUCGGUCGUAGGUUCGAGUCCUACCUGUGCAGCCA
Molecule: transfer RNA, 75 nt
Filed under: Staphylococcus aureus
Lineage: Bacteria; Bacillati; Bacillota; Bacilli; Caryophanales; Staphylococcaceae
Description: tRNA-Asn
Rfam family: tRNA
About the family: Transfer RNA (tRNA) molecules are approximately 80 nucleotides in length. Their secondary structure includes four short double-helical elements and three loops (D, anti-codon, and T loops).
Source: RNAcentral